RNAcentral lists this ribosomal RNA (398 nucleotides) under uncultured bacterium. RNAcentral's name for it is "partial 16S ribosomal RNA". It matches the Rfam family "Bacterial small subunit ribosomal RNA", at positions 360 to 776 of the family's 1533-position model. The record is from RNAcentral.
AAUAUUGCACAAUGGAGAAAACUCUGAUGCAGCGACGCCGCUUGAACGAUGAAUGCUAUCGAGUCGUAAAGUUCUGGCCUAGGGGACGAUAAUGACCGUACCCAAGGAGGAAGCCCCUGCCAACUACGUGACAGCAGCCACGGUAAUACGCAGGGGGCUAGCGUUGUUCGGAUUUAUUGGGCGUAAAGGGUUCGCAGGCGGCCUUUUAAGUCAGAUGUGAAAGACUACAGCUCAACUGUGGUAAGCAUUUGAAACUGAAAGGCUUGAGUUAAGGAGAGGAAAGUGGAAUUCCUAGUGUAGCGGUGAAAUGCGUAGAUAUUAGGAGGAAUACCAGUGGCGAAGGCGACUUUCUGGACUUAUACUGACGCUGAGGAACGAAAGCGUGGGGAGCAAACAGG